RNAcentral lists this unclassified non-coding RNA (257 nucleotides) under uncultured Basidiobolus. RNAcentral describes it as "sequence contains ITS2". Lineage: Eukaryota; Fungi; Basidiobolomycota; Basidiobolomycetes; Basidiobolales; Basidiobolaceae. The record is from RNAcentral.
UAACUAUUCUCAAGCUACAUUCUUUUUAAAAGGGUGCAGCAUGGAAUUGAGUGAUCCCGGUACGAGCGCUUCGGCACUGCAACUGGGAGACUUGAAACUGAUAUCGCGGGAGUAGUGGUCAUUAAGGAUCAGCUCUUUGUAGGUGUACUAGUUGGAGGCGUCGCAAGACGUUUUCAUUCUUAACACCAUUUGCGCAAAGUUCGGAUCUGACAACUACAACCAACGAACGCAGGAACGCGAGUCUUCGGACUUCAACU